RNAcentral lists this ribosomal RNA (253 nucleotides) under uncultured bacterium. RNAcentral describes it as "partial 16S ribosomal RNA". It matches the Rfam family "Bacterial small subunit ribosomal RNA", at positions 524 to 776 of the family's 1533-position model. The record is from RNAcentral.
UACGAAGGGGGCUAGCGUUGCUCGGAAUCACUGGGCGUAAAGCGCACGUAGGCGGAUUGUUAAGUCGGGGGUGAAAUCCUGGAGCUCAACUCCAGAACUGCCUUCGAUACUGACGAUCUCGAGUCCGGGAGAGGUGAGUGGAACUCCGAGUGUAGAGGUGAAAUUCGUAGAUAUUCGGAAGAACACCAGUGGCGAAGGCGGCUCACUGGCUCGAUACUGACGCUGAGGUGCGAAAGCGUGGGGAGCAAACAGG